UACGUAGGUGGCGAGCGUUGUCCGGAUUUAUUGGGCGUAAAGGGAGCGUAGGCGGACUUUUAAGUGAGAUGUGAAAUACCCGGGCUCAACUUGGGUGCUGCAUUUCAAACUGGAAGUCUAGAGUGCAGGAGAGGAGAAUGGAAUUCCUAGUGUAGCGGUGAAAUGCGUAGAGAUUAGGAAGAACACCAGUGGCGAAGGCGAUUCUCUGGACUGUAACUGACGCUGAGGCUCGAAAGCGUGGGGAGCAAACAGGAUUAGAUACCCGGGUAGU
This 271-nucleotide ribosomal RNA is filed under the name uncultured prokaryote. Its description in RNAcentral is "partial 16S ribosomal RNA". It matches the Rfam family "Bacterial small subunit ribosomal RNA", at positions 524 to 794 of the family's 1533-position model. The record is from RNAcentral.